UUAGCUCACUAAUCACUUCAAUUUUUCCACUUAGAAUUUUUGGUAUUUUAAGGUUUUUUUUGAAUUUUUUCCACUUUGAAUUUUUGGCAUUCCAAAAAUAGGAUCAAACACAUCUAGAUAUGAUCUAAAAUGCUAGGAGAGCCUCAAAUGAAGAAUUAGUUAUAAACAAAUAAAUCCCAAGCAUAAUAAUUUACAAAAAAAAACUAGAUCUAGAAUAAAGCUGAGGUGGGUCGUUGGUCAAAUCAAUCUGAGCAACACCUAAUUUCCUUACGCCCCCAAUGCAAAAAUUAUUUUUUUGUUGUCAGAAAAUAAUUUACGCUCGACAAACCCGACCAAAGCGAAGGUAUGGGCACAUGGAAACUUAAACAGACACACAGGCACAGUGAUGAUAGUGUUGGGGCAUGCAAAAUAUGAUUUGCUAUCAUCUUUUGGAGGUGAUAUGGUGAGAAAAGAAUUAUGGAUAUUUUAAUAGGGCUAGAGAUGUAAAGUGGUUGUUGUUUUGAAAUUAGAUAAUCUUAGAAUAAGUUACGACAUUUGAUAAACUUACACUUUUUAUUUUCAACGAACUGAAUUAAAGUUUGGAUUGCUACUCCUAUUAAAUCUUAUCAUAUACAAUUGUGUGGUAAAGGUAUGUAAAAUAUUAUAUUUUAGGAAUACUUGUAUGAAACAAAACUCGAAUGUUAUCCUAAGUUAUGAAUUGUUCAUCAUACUUUAUCUUGUUUUUAGUUUAUAAAUUGGUGUUCUUUGUAUGAGUUGUAAACAAUAAGAACUUUUAGAUGUAAUGUUUCACUCCAUCAUAUGUAUUCUGGGCAAUCAAAUCCCAAAUCCAUAUUUAGAACUACAAAAUAUAUCUCAAUCCCGAGGCCAUGUCCCGAGGCCAUGUCCAACCGCCCAAACAUAUCUCAAUGCAUCCCAUCCCAAACCAAAUCAUAAAUUGUAUUUUCAUAUCAAAGCAGACAUCAACACUUGCAUUGUCUUAAAGUUAACAAAAAAAUUAAUCAAACCAAUACUUAAUAGGUUCAACAAAAAAUAUAGGCAUCUAAACAAAGGCAACUAGUUGACACUGAAAUUGCUUACAAUUUUACAAAGAUUGUAAUUUGGGAUAACUAAGGUAAUUUUAUUGAAAAACAACUCUUAUUCAAGUAUUAAAUGGGCCUUUCGACAAAUUCGCCAAGUAGUGUCUAUUUAAUAGCAUGCACCAAUUCAUUCAAAUUUUAGUAUUUGGAAUCAAAAUGGCACACAUUGAAAUCACUAUUUUGAUCACACAAUAAAAGCAUCAGCAAGUCUGGAUGAGUAUUAAUUUGGGAUACUGGGAGUACUAAUUAGAAUAAAGGCCAAUAUAUGUACCUUGAUUUAGUGACAACCAAAACUAGGAACUGCAGGAAUGGGAGUGACGGCCGUAUCACGGGUCCACUAGCUAUCAGGAAUUUGGUUAGACCACUGAUCACCACCAGAGUAGUCGACAUAGUCACGGGCAGCAGCUGUUUCCUCUUCUUUCUU
This 1500-nucleotide long non-coding RNA is filed under the name Panax ginseng (ginseng). RNAcentral's name for it is "long non-coding RNA (PGIN_LNC012647)". The record is from RNAcentral. Lineage: Eukaryota; Viridiplantae; Streptophyta; Magnoliopsida; Apiales; Araliaceae.